UGGAAAGAAUAAAAUUUGGGUUCGAGCAACCCAUUUUUAGGCCUACUUUUUGGACCUAGUCCAUAAUUACCAAACCCAUAAUUCCUAGUCCCAUACCCGUAACCUAAUUCCUACCCCGAUAUAAUAGUACCUAACACCUAAAUAUACAAUACACCCUAAGAGCCAAUGCAAGAGAGAAGCUUCACAACAACAGCAUUCCCAGCAAAAAAGCAACACCCUCUCUGAUUUUCAUGAAUACAAAAAUACAGAGCUUUCCUUCUUCAUUAAAGAGAUCGGCCAUAAACACCCCAAAACAACCCAAAAUAUCCAUUAGAACUACUCUAAAUCUAGCCUGAAACAACCACCAAAAAACUCCUUUAAACUCCAGCAAAAUCCAGCAGCUUUUUAGCUGCAAAAAACCACCAAAAUCAGCCUCCAAAACAGACCCAGAACAGCCCAAAAACGAGCUGGAAAUCUACCCCCGAACCAGCCCUCUUCUCAGUCCAAAAAAUGACUUUGAAACAGCCCCAAACAACCACCCAAAAUGCAGCAAAAGACCAGUUGCGAACAGCCCCAAAACCUAGCUCGAAACAGCCCCCAAAAGCCCCAAAUUUCAGCCACAAAUGACCCGAAAAUCUCAGCCAAAACCCAGUUCCAAAAGACCUCGAAACCGUCCCAAAACUAACCUCAAAAGUCACUUUCAAUUACUAUUGAUUCUCUCUUCAGUCAAGGAGAUCUAGCUAUAAUCAUUGUGAGGUUGCCGCUCGGGUUUCGAUCUCGGAUCAAGGUUAUGUUCUCUGUUUCGUUGUUUACAUCCGUUCGCUCACAGACUUAUGAGGUUCUUAUCUUGUCCUCUUUCUGAUUAAUGAGUUUUUGUGCCUCUCUUAGUUAAAUAAAAUAAUGAAACUCAUAUUGAUAUAUUCUAGUAUGCUUACUUCAAUGUUUGUUUUAUUAUAAUUUCUUUUGACAGUAGUGUUUUUAUAACUUGGUCUAGCAUUGAUUCUUUUUUUUCUCUUUUUUGUUAGUUCUGUUUACUCUAUUAUUUGUCAUUUUAUUUUAUUGUUUAAACGCGUUGUUAAUAGGGUAUAUGAUUUCAAGUGUCACCAAGUUUUGAAAUUGAAAACAGGAUUUUCACAUUUUAAGCUUAUUAGAAGCAAUAACGUAUUCAAGUUGGCCAUGAGAUUUAGGCUUGGUUUAAUGAAAAGCAUAAGUCAUAGGAAAGAUUGAAUAAUGGAAUGAUACUAGUAGUAACUUUAAGAUUAAAUUUGGACAUUAAGUGUUCGGUUCUAUUUGAUGUUGCUUUGUAAUUUGGCAACAGAAAGACUCAUGUUGUUCUCUAGCCAUCAUUAUAUAUGAUGUGUGGACUUUAAGAAGUUACUGGGAUAAAUAAUAAAAGUUUGCCAGGCCCGUCAUACUUUAAUUCAUAAACCAACACAUCUUUCCAUAAUUAAUCCACCUUGCUCCUUUCAUAAUAAAUUCCAUAAUUCUAGAUUUGAACAAAUAAUUGCAAACCUUAGAAAAAUUAAUUCUCUUGAAUAUUCGUAGUUUGCUUUAGGCUCGAUUUAGACUAGUAUGAUGAUUAUGUAUAUGUUUGUGUAACAUAAUUGCGAAUUUAAUUCUAAAAAGUAACUCGAGGGAUGCGUUCGCGCAACUUCAACCAAGAUUUUCUUAAUAAAAUAAACAAAGCGUUAUUAAUUGUAGACACGUUCGCGUGACAUGAUUUUUGAUGCGCCAAAAGAAAAGAGUAUACGUACGCAUUACUCAAUUCUUUAAUUACGAAUAAAUCAAGUGAUUAAAAGCGGUAAAAUGACAAAUUCGCAUAGAUCCUAAAAAUGAGUAGUUAAACAAUUUAAGCCAAGUAAUAAUCACUAAGCGACUGUGCUAGAACCACAGAACCUGUGAAUGCCUAACAUCUUCUUUCGGGUUAAUAGAAUUCCUUAUCUAGAAUUUAUGGUUCGCAGACUUCAAAAAGGAAAGUCGAAAUUUCCUCGAUUUGUGAUUUAAAAUAAACCGGUGACUUGGGACACCGUAAAUUAUUCCAAGUGGCGACUCUGAUUAAAUAAAAUAAUCCCAUUUUGAUUUAUGUCACUUUAAUUGGAAAAACUCCCUUAUAUCCCCUCGGGAUAGUAAAAAGGAGGUAUGACAGUAUGCUACCAAAGUGUCAAAUGGCAAGGUUAUCACCUCGAGCCUAGAAUUAUUGGGUGAAAGGCGGGAGGCCACCGUAGUCUGGUUAGCCGCCCAAAAGCAAUGAGUAGGGAGGUACUACAACUGAAGAGCCAACCUCCGACAUUUUCAAGUUGGGGACUUGGUAUUGAGAAAGGUAACACCACACACUAGGAAUACAAAUGAAGGGAAACUAGGUCCGAAUUGGGAAGACCGUAUAUAGUUGACGAAAUAAUCGGCAAAGGCUCGUAUAAGCUCGAAUCAAGAAAUGGUGUACAACUACCGAACAUUUAGAACAUGGCACAAUUAAAGCUGUACUACUGCUAAGGUACAAACCCAAUUUUUUUUAUUUCGUUAUAUUAUAGACUAACUUAUGCAGGUACUCAGCCAAGGGCAAACGUGACUAUUAGGACUGAAAGCACAUAUUGUACUCUUUUUCCCGAACUGAUUCUGUUUCGAAGUGCAUUUUUCAGCAAGGUUUCUAAUUUGGCAACAGUAAAAUGUGCUACCUUAGUUUUGAAGACCGAUCUUAAAUCAGAAUCGUUGAUUGCUUGCACCGAGCCAACAGUAUCUGAGCCCUCACAAGUUCGGCCUCAAGAACUAGAGUCCAUUACCCCUAGGGUAAGAUCCUUAGAAAGGGAAAAUUUUAUAUGUUAAAAGCCAAGGCUUGAUUAUUAGGAUUUGUUGGAAGGGUCAAAAAGUCAUACGAACCGUGCCCAUGUAGCCUACUCCAGCCACGGCACAAGGCUUAUACGCCUCCGAUUAUGUAACUUCCAUAUAAAACAAUGAAAGGAAACUUUGCUUCCCUCAUACUUUAUUAUUGCACAUUUCGCAUUUCACUUCAUCGAUGCUUCACAACAAAUCCUAAUACCUAAAGCCCAUGGAUUAACCGACUCGGGGACUAUCGAUCGAUAAAAAAUCGGGCAUCCCGGGUCAUUGAAUUUUGGAGGCACCUAGCCUACUAGGUAGUGCCCAAAUACAAAAGGCUAUGACCACCCUAAAAUGGCUUGGAGAGUCCAAAAUUUGUAUUCAGAAAGUAAGGCCCUUACAUAUAAUUAAAACCUAUUAAAAGGUUACUCUCGGCAGCAAACACAUCGUCGUAUACAACUUAAGCAUCUUAAAGGCCUUGAAUUUUAUCGAAAUAUCGAAACCGCGAGUAAUCCGGAGUUGCCAUUGAAUCAGUAUCCAUUUAGGCCUCCGAAGAAUGGAUGCCUCGUAUUAUGUUCGAUUCUAUGCUAAGGCAUUAAGAACGAUGCACAAACAAAAGAUUGUAAAUAGAUGCUGAAAAGUAAGAACAUGGUAUUGCCAAAGGAAAAAUUUUGUACAUUUCAAAAAAUAUUUACAAAGGCACGAUAAAAUGGCCUCAAAAUAAGCAAGAAAGAAAAUAUAAAAGGGAAAGCCAAAAAUAAACUGAGGCACCUACGCCUAAUCUUCGCUGAGGCUUGACUCAGUAACUGAACCUUCGGAACCAACAGAGCCUUCGGGGCCUUCGGGAUCAUAUAGUUCCUUUGCCUUGGCCUCGAGCCUCUUGGCUUAUACGUUCUCAGCGGACAGAUCAAACCCUUAGGCGUUAAUUUUCUCGAGGAUCUCCCUUCGAGAUAGCCGCUUUACAUACUCGGUCUUUGUCUUUAAACGGGCUCGACCACCUCCACAUUUGCUUUAUACUGAGCCAGCAUUUCUUCAACCUCGGAGGAAUCAAUUGAAAUUGCCUCUAAUUUGGACUUCAGCGCAGUAUAUUCCUGGCCAAGGGCAUCUUGUUCUGAGGCGGCUAAAGCCAGUUGCUCCCGGAGCUUGUCAUUUAGCUGCGACCACUUGUCGGUUUUGUCCUUUGCCACCCAGAGCUGGUCCUUGACCAAUGACUGUUCCUCUUUUGUGGCAUCCUUUUCCGAAGCCAACAUGUCCAUUCUACCUUUCAUUGCAUCUAUUGUGGUCUUGACCUUAUCCAUCUCGGCCUGAAGCUGGUCAAUCAAGUCUAUCUUCUCUUGGACCUGUGAAGUUGCACCGUUAGUCACCACAAGUAGAUUCUCGUUUUUAGCCUCAAAGAUAUUUACCUUUUCGACUAGUUCGGCAUGAUCCCAUUUCUUGAACGAGGCCUCCUUCUUUGCCUUUUCCAGCUCAGCUCAAAGAAUCUGGAGGUCCUUGAAAGCCCCGUCUUGUUGUUCACUAAGAGCUCUGUACAUGUCCUUCUUCCAGAAUUGCUCUUUGAGCUCGAACUCGAGCUGGUUGAUUUCCAAGAGGGAUCGAAGGAAGGUUUCAUGAUGAAGCACCGAAGUCUGAAAAAUAAUGAGGUCGUUAGAACAUGCUAAAACUAAGCAAAUUUGGAAAGGAUACAAAGAAUAUACGUCUUACCUAGUUCAUUGCUUGUUGCACCUUAUUUAAAAGGCUCGAUGUACCUACUUCGUUCAUCUUCGCUUGGAUCUCCUCGGCCACCAGAAAACAAAGGUAGUUGGCCACACCCACCAGAGCAGGCAGUGCCCGGGCAUCCACCGGGAUACUAAGAAUGACCGUUCUAUUGGAACUCAAAUUCGGCUCGCCCGCUCCGAAUGGAACAUCCUUUUUUGGGACCUCCAGGUUGCCAAGCCCGGAGUAGUCCUCCAACUCUCAUGUCUAUGCCAUCGAAGAACAUGUUGUGGGCAUCAUCCGAUCUAGUGUCGUCUCGCUUGAUUUCUCUUUAUUGGCCUGAGCCUCUUCGAACAUGGACUCUGUGUGGGACGUCAUCUCCGUGAUGUCAAUGACACCAGCUACCUCCUUUGGCAGGAACAGCUUCUGGGGAUGCCAUGGCCUCCAAUCCUCCUUCUGGCUCCUAAGCUAGAGGGGAAUCGACCCCUCGGCCAUCUUCCCCGGUCGUCGCCCUCUCUCCCUCGUUGAUGGUUGACUCAUGAGCAAUGAACUCAUGGUCGUCAUCCUCAGGGUAAUCCCUAAGCCAAAAGAGGGAAUUAAGGCCUGGUACCCUAGCUUUGGUGUUCUUUUUGUUGCUUUUUCGAAUCCAGGCAGCAACCCUUUUAUUCUUCACCUUGGUGUCUAAGGAGCUAGAGGAUUUCCGUUUUCUCUUUUUAUCCUCCUUCGCGGCAGCUAUGGGCUGUCCCGAAGUAAAGGGUUCUGCAAGCGAGGAUAGGACCUCGUCCCCAUCCAAUGGCUGAAGCUCGGUGGUCUUGGGAAAGCUAGUGAAAGGGAAAAAGACUUAGCAAAUAUAAAAGUUAAGUAUGUAAAUAUAAUUAUUCGGGCAGGAGACUCACCGUGGGAACGAGCCUCCGACUUUCCCCUCGAGAGCUUGCGCCAUUCACGCUGGAAGUAAGGAAUUUGUUUAUAAAUCCCCUCGAUCCACUCAUUGAGGUGGGGGACUGCAUUGGGGACUUGGGCGACUACUGAACGACGGUAGACACAUGCACUUAGAAAAAAAACAAAAGGAAAUAACAAGCACUCAAGAAGGAGAAGACUUACUGGAUGAGUUCCACGUUUCACGGAAUGGUAGAAAUUUAUGGGGAAUGAGGUCUUUGGUUUUCACCCAAAGGAACCUCUCCUUCCAACCUCGAUCUCAAUUUUCAUCGAUACUCGAGAAUAGAGCCUUAGUUGCUCGACGAACGAGCUUGAUAAGCCCCCUUGGAAGAUUCAAGGACUGUAGAGACAAAGCAGGUUGUUGAGGGUGAGCCUUGGCGCUACGGUGUUGUUACAAAGUGUGGAGGAGGAUUACGAUCCUCUAAAAGGAUGGAUGAAUCCGCCCGAGCAGACCUCGUACCUUUUGCAGAAGCCGAGGAUUAUGGGGUCCACCGGGGCGAGCGUGAAAGGGUAAGUAUAACCACGUACGUAGUAAUGUCCUCAUUAGACCCGGGAACGACCACCUCCUUGCCCUUCCAAUUGUAGUCCACUCGGACUGUGGGGAGUAUGUUAAUACACAUUUUUUCCCUCAUAUUUUUCAAAAUAGUGCACAUGCAUCAUCAAUUGAUUUACAAGUAUGCACAAGUAUUUUUCAUAAUUUUCCAUAGUUUUUAAAAGCUUUAAAUCAAUUUAUUUCUGCAUUUUAUUAUAUAAAUAUCCAAUAAUUAUCCUUCAUAUUAUUUUUAUGAUGAUUUAAUCAUCUAAAUUUAUCAUUUGUACUAAAAUAAUAUUUAAAUAUUUUUCAGUGCAUAUUUAUAAUCACAUUUGCAAUUUUAAGGCUAAAUUGCAUAUUUUACAAUAAUAGCCCAUAUGUACCUAUGAUUAUAUUAUUUAUGCAAAAUAUAACUUCUUAUAUUUUUAUAGUAUUACAUAAUUAUUUAAAAUCUUUGUGUACAAAUAAUAUUUUUGUUAUUUAUUAAAAUUGGGUAUUUAAAAUCUAGCCCUAAUUCUAUAAUUAAUUUUGGACCUAUGCUACCCAAACAUAACCCAAUUACCCAAGCCCAAUACAUCUGACCCAAUUACCCUUACCCAUUCAAUUAAACCCAACCCAGUCUACUCAAAUCCCAACCGUUGAUAAAGAAUGAUCAAGGGCUUACAAACAAUUACCUCCUUUCCUUAUAUCUCCACCCCAAACCCUAUCCCUUAUUUUCUUAAUCUCGCCACCUCUGUUUCCCCCCUCUAAUUAACCCUAAUUCUGCCACCUCACUAAAUUCCCCAUAAUCUCAUUCCUAAUGGGAUUCUUUCCCCAUUCACCGACCAUUUCGAGAUAUUUUCCAUAUUUGGUGCUAUUUUAUGAAAUAACUUAAGUACUUGCCUAAACAUGAUAAGUACCCCACUUUGAUUCUGUCCAAAUCUAUAUUUACCUCUUGAAUCUGCACGAUCUUGAAUCCAAAUGCGUUAUUUUGUACCGAUUCUCUUGUAUCUCGCUGAUUCGUACUUAACCCUAAAGGUUAUGGUUUCAUAUUCUCUUUUGAUUUGAACCUAAGCUGGUUCAAACUUUUAUUUUUAGCAUUAUUCUGUCUCUAUUCACUCUAUUACCUGUUAAUUAACCUAUUUUUGUCGAUUUCUUUUACUUACCCAAAUUAGGGUUUCGGAUCUCCUUCAAUUGAACCAAAUCUGGUUCAAUUCUAUGUUUCUUUUUGAAUAAUCUCCUAUCUUUGUCUAUUUUUAUGCUAAUAUGUGAUUCUUGUCUUUAUUUUCAGCCGAUUUUGUGGUUUACCUAAAUUUAGUUUUUCAUACCCUUUUACUUGAACUAAAUCCGGUUCAAUGCUGUGUUUCUUUUUGAAUAAUUCCCUGUCUAUGUUUAUUAUAUGCAUUAUGUGAUUCUUUGUCUUAUUUUAUACUGAUUUUGCGUAUCUUCACCUAAAAUUUAGGGUUUUAAUUUUACUGAUUUAAGUACUUGCCUUUUGGUAUAUAAAUUAGCUAUGUUAUGUUCUAAUUUCAGAACUAUUUAAACUUCUCCCAACUCCCCUUUGAAAGUCUAGAAGUUUUGAGUUCGAAAAUCUUUUCACUACUAUACAAAAGUUGCGUGCUUCUACUCUCUCUUGAAUAAUUUUGUUCUGUGUUUUGAUUCCUGGCCGGCUGAAAGCCAAGGCCAGAAAUCCCUAAGUUCUUGCUUUUGUCUAGUGAUAUUCAUUGCACUGUUGGAUUCCUUUAUUUCCUGUUUCAUCUCAAUUGGCGAGUUAUUAGACCCUCUGCCAUUUCAUUAUGAUUGUUCACUCAACGUGUUACUUCAACUAAUCUAUGCUAGCCUAAUGUUAUUAUAUUGUGGUUUGAAACAUGAUUAAAUUUAUGUUGGGUUUAUUAAUCAUUUCUGCUUAAAUUCUGUGUUAUUGAGGACUAUCUCUUGAAGCUAAGUCUGUUAUGACCCUACUUUGAACAUGUGUUUAUUUCCUCUUGUGGGCCAAUGAACUAUGUAUAGAUGUAUGCAUUAAUAAGAUUACAAGUUUGUUUCUGUUACAAUAUGGCUUGUUUAACUUUGUUCUUAACAUAUUAUGACACUUCUAGUAACUGCCUUAAUUAGUUUUUUAACUUGUCCUAAUUUGUUGCUAACUAACGUGAUUCCUUCUUAUGAUACUAGUUUUUUCACUUAGUCUAAUCUAGAUCUUUUGUUAUCACUAUGAAUCUACCUAUGAACUUGCCUUGUUAUCAUGUGAUUAAUUCCUAAAACUUGACCAAGUUUGCCAAAGUUCAAGCAUGUAUACUACUUGUUUGGGUACAUGUGUUAUGUCCCUUCAGUGAAAUUCUUUGACUAACUGUUAUUCCUUUACUAUCUGGACUUUCUGAAUCCUCAUUCUUAGCCGACUGAAAGCCAAGGCCAUUUAGGUUCUGCCCUUGACCUCCAUAGUGUGAGCACUGCUUAGGGUUCAUGGAGACCCUUGUGAACUCUGACAUGCUAGGACUUGGUCCCUAGUCUUCUCUCUGAACUGUUUCUGAUCAAUCUCCCUAGUGUGAGCAUCGCCCUGGGUUCUUGAAGCUCUUGGGAACUCUGACACACUAGGGACUUGGGUUUUGUAUGCUCAUCUUUGAUAUAUGGGUGAAUCACUCAACAAUUGGUUAUGUUGUAUGAACAUGGGUUUUGGGGAUAUUGUGAGUUGAAGGCCUGGUCUGUCCAGGUGUAUUUGGGCCUACUGUAGGCUCCCUAUAGUUUACUCACUUUGUAAUUCAUUACCUUAAAUUCUGGUUUGUAAUUAAUUUUUUUUUGUAAUAACAAUUCUGGGGUAUUAUAAAAUUGGGAAGGGUUUCUUAUUUUGCAAUAAAAGUUGGGUAGAAAUCCUGCCUAUAG
RNAcentral lists this long non-coding RNA (8803 nucleotides) under Nicotiana tabacum (common tobacco). RNAcentral's name for it is "long non-coding RNA (NTAB_LNC017598)". The record is from RNAcentral. Lineage: Eukaryota; Viridiplantae; Streptophyta; Magnoliopsida; Solanales; Solanaceae.